Molecule: long non-coding RNA, 238 nt
Organism: Mytilus californianus (California mussel)
Lineage: Eukaryota; Metazoa; Mollusca; Bivalvia; Mytilida; Mytilidae
Exons: 3
Source: RefSeq, a predicted model, not a curated record
UUUCAUUUGUGGAUUGCGUAACUACUACACAGCUGUUCGUAACUUCCGGUUCAACAUCUGGUGAAGGAAACGUGAAUUGGAUUGAGACAUUUUUUUUGGAAAAAAACCAGCUAACUAUAUUUGAACCAUACUGUUCGUAUAUCAUGUAGAAGAUUCCAUAUUGUAAAUACAGGACCUAUGUACCUCAUACAUGGGUCAUUUCUUAUAUUACACAAUAAAACGAAUCCAUUGAUCCUGA